AGCGAACGCUGGCGGCAGGCCUAACACAUGCAAGUCGAGCGCCGUAGCAAUACGGAGCGGCAGACGGGAGAGUAACACGUGGGAACGUGCCCUUUGGUUCGGAACAACCCAGGGAAACUUGGGCUAAUACCGGAUAAGCCCUUACGGGGAAAGAUUUAUCGCCGAAGGAUCGGCCCGCGUCUGAUUAGCUAGUUGGCGGGGUGAUGGCCCACCAAGGCGACGAUCAGUAGCUGGUCUGAGAGGAUGAUCAGCCUCACUGGGACUGAGACACGGCCCAGACUCCUACGGGAGGCAGCAGUGGGGAAUAUUGGACGAUGGGCGCAAGCCUGAUCCAGCCAUGCCGCGUGGGUGAUGAAGGCCCUAGGGUUGUAAAGCCCUUUCGGCGGGGAAGAUAAUGACGGUACCCGCAGAAGAAGCCCCGGCUAACUUCGUGCCAGCCGCCGCGGUAA
RNAcentral lists this ribosomal RNA (449 nucleotides) under uncultured bacterium. Its description in RNAcentral is "partial 16S ribosomal RNA". It matches the Rfam family "Bacterial small subunit ribosomal RNA", at positions 29 to 523 of the family's 1533-position model. The record is from RNAcentral.